Molecule: ribosomal RNA, 535 nt
Filed under: uncultured bacterium
Lineage: Bacteria
Description: bacterial SSU rRNA
Rfam family: Bacterial small subunit ribosomal RNA
Source: RNAcentral
AAUGGGCGAAASKGAHGCAGCAACGCCGCGUGGAGGAUGAAGGUCUUUGGAUUGUAAACUCCUGUCAGCAGGGAAAAAGGGAGGGGACCUCAUACGUUCCUGACUUGAUUGUACCUGCAGAGGAAGCCCCGGCUAACUCUGUGCCAGCAGCCGCGGUAAUACAGAGGGGGCAAGCGUUAUUCGGAAUUAUUGGGCGUAAAGGGCGCGUAGGCGGCUGAACAAGUGACGGGUGAAAGCCCUCGGCUUAACCGAGGAACUGCCUGUCAGACUGUUUGGCUUGAGACCGGGAGAGGUGAGUGGAAUUCCCAGUGUAGCGGUGAAAUGCGUAGAUAUUGGGAGGAACACCAGUGGCGAAGGCGGCUCACUGGACCGGAACUGACGCUGAGGCGCGAAAGCCGUGGGGAGCAAACAGGAUUAGAUACCCUGGUAGUCCACGCCGUAAACGAUGAGUGCUUGGUGUAGCGGGUAUCGACCCCUGCUGUGCCGAAGUCAACACAUUAAGCACUCCGCCUGGGGGAGUACGGUCGCAAGACUG